This 1433-nucleotide ribosomal RNA is filed under the name Scinax garibaldiae. RNAcentral's name for it is "partial 16S large subunit ribosomal RNA". It matches the Rfam family "Bacterial large subunit ribosomal RNA", at positions 133 to 2597 of the family's 2925-position model. The record is from RNAcentral. Lineage: Eukaryota; Metazoa; Chordata; Amphibia; Anura; Hylidae.
GCUAAAAAUCUAGCCCAUUUUAACCCAUAUGGACUCACCCACCUUAUUUAACAAACUAAAACAUUCUAACAUUUUAGUAAAGGAGAUUGAAAAACUAAUUUGGAGCAAUAAAAAUAGUACCGCAAGGGAAAGAUGAAAUAAAAAUGAAAUAAACCUCAAGCACAUAAGAGUAGAGAUUACCCCUCGUACCUUUUGCAUCAUGGUCUAACUAGUCUAAUCAAGCAUAAAGCAUUAUAGUUUGACCCCCCGAAACUAAGCGAGCUACUUCAAGGCAGCUUUAAGAGCGAACCCGUCUCUGUUGCAAAAGAGUGGGAUGACCUUCAAGUAGAGGUGACAGACCUAACGAGCUUAGUGAUAGCUGGUUACUCAAGAAAAGGAUUUUAGUCCAACCUAAAGUUUGUAUUUAUUAAUAAAAAUUUACCUUAAACUUUAGAGCAAUUCAAAUAAGGUACAGCCUAUUUGAAACAGGAUACAACCUCGAAUGACGGGUAAUAAAUUUUAACAUUCAACCAAGUAGGCUUAAAAGCAGCCACCUUUAAAAAAGCGUCAAAACUUAAUUGAAAACUUAAACUAAUCCCUUUAGCCACUUCUAACCCUCUACCGUUAUUGAGUAACUCUAUAUAUUUAUAGAGCCUAUUAUGUUAAAACUAGUAACAAGAAGCCAAACCUUCUCUUAGAUGUACAUGUUAAUCAGCGAGGAUAAACCACUGAUAAUUAACGCCUAUGAACCCGCAUUAGCAACUCUUACAAGAAAAACCUAAUAUUCACCACGUUAACCUAACACAAGAACAUCUCAAGAAAGAUUAAAAGAAAAAGAAGGAACUCGGCAAAUUUUAACCCCGCCUGUUUACCAAAAACAUCGCCUCUUGUAAUAAAAAUAAGAGGUCCAGCCUGCCCAGUGACCACAGUUCAACGGCCGCGGUAUCCUAACCGUGCGAAGGUAGCGUAAUCACUUGUUCUUUAAAUGAGGACUAGUAUGAAUGGCACCACGAGGGUUACACUGUCUCCUUUUUCUAAUCAGUGAAACUAUUCUCCCCGUGAAGAAACGGGGAUUUAUCUAUAAGACGAGAAGACCCUAUGGAGCUUUAAAUUUUAUUUCAAUUGCUUUAUCUUGUACUCCGUUCCGACCCCUAAGACUAAGCCAAGCAUAAUGAUAAUAGAUUUUAGGUUGGGGUGACCGCGGAGCAUAAAAAAACCUCCGCAUUGGAUUAGGCCUUAAGCCUUGAGCAAAGAGCUACAACUCCAAGCACUAACAUAUUAAUAUCCAUUGACCCAAUAUUUUUGAUCAACGAACCAAGUUACCCUAGGGAUAACAGCGCAAUCCACUUCGAGAGCUCCUAUCGACAAGUGGGUUUACGACCUCGAUGUUGGAUCAGGGUAUCCCAGUGGUGCAGCCGCUACUAAAGGUUCGUUUGUUCAACGAUUAAAACCCU